This 115-nucleotide ribosomal RNA is filed under the name Danio rerio (zebrafish). The record is from RNAcentral. Lineage: Eukaryota; Metazoa; Chordata; Actinopteri; Cypriniformes; Danionidae.
UAAAGCAGCUAGCUCUCUGCAACUCUCACAUGGUCGCCCACUGACACCAAGCAGGGCUGCGCCUGGUCAGUACAUGGAUGGGAGAUCACAUUGGAAAGCUAGGUUGCUGCCGGAA